CAGGGCCUGCAUCCCGGCGGCCCCGGGCGGCGCAGUGCACGCCGGGAAUUGGAGUCCCGCCGGCCCGGACUGACCUGUUGCCGCCUCCCUGGGCGGGUGUCCCGGGGGCUGAGGACAGUGACGGGGAUGGCGCGGCCGGGCCGGGGCGCCUGCGCAGACGGCCGGGGCCGGCGACAAGCUGGGGAGCGCGGGGAGUAUGCAUAAGCUUAAAUCAUCUCAGAAGGACGAGGUCCUCCAGCUCAUGGCAUUCACUCAGGCUGGUGAGAGAACUGUCAUCCGGCGCUCAGCCCAAAGUGAGUGGAAACUGGACGCGCCACGGACAGCUUCUUCCAGAACCCGGCCUCGUUCCACAAGGACUCCAUGCGAACCUCCGUGGACAGGAAGAUGCUGGAGCCGCUGUAUAACCGGUACAAAGGUAGGGGCGCAGUGGCGAGUGCGUGCGUCUCCAGGGAGCAGGGUGGCUGUGCUGGAGUCUCCGUGCUGUGUCCCAGGGCCCCCGACGUGCAUUCCCUUCCCGUGCAGAUGUUCAGCUGCACAAAAGUCUGAGGACUGAUGAGCAGCGAGCCCUCCUGCACGUGGCCUGGGCGGAGGCUCGUGUGCCCACGGUUGGCUGCGCACGGUCACUGCUCGGAGGCUUGGUGUCCAGGCCAGGUGGCUACACUUGUUAAGACAGUACUUCUCCCCAGCGCUUGCACGUAGGCAGGAAUACGUGGUGAGAAGGCCAUUCCAGAACGAUACCGACUCGUAAGAGUAAUUCUGAUGCGAGGGUACAGGUAUCCUGCCCUUAACACCGUGUGCUGGUGUUGGAGCCCUGGAACAGCUCCAGCUGCAGAAGCUUCUGGAAAAACUCUUGGCAAAAAAACCUUUGUGUUGUCAGCUGGGGACAGUUGUUAUUUUCAUUGAAAUUGGCACUUAGAGUGGAGCUUUCCCUAUCAAAAUGCAGUCAUGCGGCAAAAAUAAGUCUGCGUGAUGAGUCUGUGCAGGUCCAGACUGCUCAGCAGGCUCUAGAUUCCACAUCAAAUGUCAGGUCUGUGCUGUAAUGGGAGAGGCGGCAACGAUUCAAGAGCUGAUUUUUUUUUUUUUCUAGCAGUUUCUAAGGUUAAUCUUAUCUUUCCAAAACUUAAAAAAUAAAAUCCCUCAUUUAAACAAGUAUUAACACAAACAGAGUAACUCCCUUGGCUUUAAGUUCUUGUUUAUUUAUUAUUUUCAUUUUUCACUUUUGAAAAUACUGUGUAUAAUCUGUCUAUCUAGAUCCAAAAAAUCAAUUGAAAAUUGCAUUCCAUUAAAAAGAAAAAAAUCUUGGUUCAGAAACAUGUUCUGUGGUUUAAAAAACAGAUUUGUACUUGUUGUAGUUCUCCAAAAAUGAACAUUGUUUUCAGUGUGCUUUAAAUUUUUUUGGCUAAGUUAAUUACUGAGCUAAUUUUGUAAGUCAUAUGCUAUGCAGAUUCUAAAAGUUAUUCAGAUAUGUGCAGCUGCCUUUGGAAAAAUAUUUUUAUGUGAAAAUUAUCUUUAGUCUUUAAGCUUCAUCCCUUAUCAUUUAAUUUUAUUCAUGCAAUUCUAGUCAUUUAAAGUAGACAUAUGGUACAGUCAUUUUGGCCCCUAAACAUAGAUGUAUAGUUCAAAGCCAAUUGACAAAUAGAACAACUGUUGUUACACAAUGUAUACAAAUGAAUGAGUGCUUCCAGACUACUUUAAAGCAUUCUAAAUUAUUAUAUGUGAAGUUUAUCAGGACGGUUAUCAGGUGAGGGCAUCGUAGACCCAUUUUUCUGUUAUCCUGAAGGUCUGUUGUGUUAGGAGCGCAGGCUUGAGUCAGGAGGUGUGUGGGAACCUCUGUCCUAUGAGCCCACGGCGGCAGGUUCUCACGGACACAGGAGCGUAGAGUUGGAAGGGUCUGUGUGAUUUUGCUCAUUUAAGGUAGGUCAGCAGUUCUUCUUUGGUAACAACAUAUGUAUAUAUAAACGUGGCGUUGAGCACUUAAGAGUUCGAUCUCGUGUGAUGGAAGAGUUUGUUGCACUUAACCUUCCUUUGCGGGAAGGUGCCGCGGGCCUGCUUCUCCCACCUUCUACGGCAGCAGGUGGGCUGUCAUUGUGAUGCCGGUCAGGAGACACAGGCUGAGGUCACAGGGCCUCGCUUGGUGAGGCCUUGCUGAUUCUUUUAAUGGAUUUCACGGUUUGAUUUUCCCAUGGAGAAAUGCUAAGUUCUUUAAUUUUAUGUCUAAACUAGAAAUUGCCGGGGGGGAUGGGGGGGCGGGGGGGAGCCUGAAUUUCUAAGCUGUUAAACGUGGAUGCAUAAACUAAACAACUGAAGAAUGAGUAUUGUGCAGUAGUAUUAGCACUGUAGCAAAUGAAAUCACUUUUAAAAGAAAAUCAUCUUUCUUUUGCUUUGACAAGGUGGUGAUAAAAACUUAAAAUAUUUUGAAUGCUUUACAGUGUUUUUCGUAGCAGUUUGCCUUUGGGCAAGGUAAAAUUCUGUAAACUUGAAAUUUUAUUUUACUUUAGGGAGAUUAAUUAAUUUUUUCUUAAUGAUGAAGUCUUCAAAGAAGUUUCAAUGAUUUUCCCCCCCUAAAAACCCAGGAACCUAGAUUUUAAAAAUAAAGAGUAUUUUCUGGAUAAAUCAUUAUUUGUUGCUAUUUCUUUCACAUAUGGUAGAAAAUUGCAGUGCAUUGAUAGAUGUGUUUGAAACACACUUGCCAAAACUAUGUAGUAGAGAUAUGAUUCUUACCACCCAUUUUAGUAAUGCUUUUCAAAAUAUCCAAAUUUUUAACUUCUUUUCCCCUUAACUUUAACUACAGACCCACAAGAUGAAAAUAAAAUUGGAAUUGAUGGAAUUCAGAAGUUUUGUGAUGAUUUAAGCCUAGAUUUAAGCCUAGUAUCACUGUUUUGGGUAUAGUGUGGAAAUUCAGGGCCGCGACUCUAUGUGAAUUUAGCAAAAAGAAUUUGUAGAUGGCAUGACAGAGCUUGGGGUUGGGAUAAAAGCUUCAUCCAUACCGUAACGUGUUUCUGACUUGCUGGAUGAGUCGGAGAGGUUUACCUCCAUUUCUCAAUGUGACACUUUUCAUCAUUAAGAUGCAUUGAGUAUAGAUUUCCUAAGUGAUAAGGAUGCAGACUUAGCAGGACGGGACUAAUCGUCUAGGCGUAAAUGCCGAGGGCCCCGUAGACUUAGAAAUGGCCGUCGCAUAUUGGAAUUUGGUAUUUUCCGGAAGGCUUAAGUUUUUAGAUCUUUGGAACAUCCUUUUGUUGAAGCAUCGCAAAAGAUCAAUCCCAAGAAACACUUGGAACCUUCUGCUAGAUUUUGGAAAUAUGAUUGCAGAUGACGUGUCCAGCUAUGAUGAAGAAGGUACGAGAAGUAGUCGGAACUCAGGCGAUGGCCAGAGGCACUGACGCGGGCGCGCACGUCUCUGACCCCGGACCACGGGUCAGUGAUGGCAGCGCAGGCCCCGGGGCAGACGGCAUCUGCUGACUCCUGGCCCGACCCCCUCCGGAGGCGGGGGUGGUGAUCAUAGUGACUAGUAGUCACUUUAUUAUGUCUUGUAAAUCACACAAAAGAAAAUACAGCUGCAUAUUUAGUUAAAGUCAGGAAGACAGUUGUCCGAACUAAGCCAUUUCAGAGUGGACGUGCAGAGGCCCUGAGGCAGACCUCAAGCAGGACAGUCACUGGGGCCCGCUGCCCCGCGUGUGGCUGCAGCGGCUGUUCCGUCUCACGGCCGAAGCUCACGGAAGACCGCAGCCUCCAUUUGCUCACCUGAGCAUGCACGCCUGCUGCGGCCCCCACCCCAAACAUUUCAGGACUCGGGGAGCGUUUGCCUGCCUGCUGAGCUGUGGGCGCUGCCCCGUUAGGGAAGGAUGCCCACCCCCCCAGCCCCGCCCACCGUCGGCUCCCUCUGCCCGGCCAGGAGGUGACUGUGCACAUUCCCGGCGGGGUCAAGGGUGGGCGGUCCUCACAGGGCCGGCUCCACACAAGCACACCAGCACUUGCCAACCCUGGUCUGGCUAGAGCAGAAGAGGGUCACUUUAGCCGAUUCUUUAAGUGGAGCACAGGCUAUAGAAAGUUAAAAUCAUUUGAGUUCUUGAAAUAUAAAAGUUGGAUUGUGAAAAAAUACUUUGAAUGUAAAAAUAUUGCUCUAAGUCGUUGAUUUUUUUUAAAAAUCUAUUUGCUCUUCUUCAGGAGUGUGGCCUGUUCUUACAGAUGAUUUCGUAGAAUGUGCACGGCCAGUGGUCACGGGUGGUUAAGGCAGCCCUCUCUAGGCAGAAGAUCGAGAUGGAUUGAGGUGAAAAGGGAGCUGUCCUGCAGGAGACGCUGGCCAGCCAUGCCCGUUGCCCAUUUUGGAAGUCAUCCUGACCAGUCGUGAGACUGGAGACCCUCUCCUGCUGCUUAGAGAAGACGCCGCUGACUGGACGCCGCACGGAGACCCUCUGAGCUCGCUGCUGGGGCUCCCAGAGACGGGGCCCUGCUGUUGCUGUAAGAGACCUCCGCAUGAUUUCCGCGUUUACGGAGGAGCUGGGGCCUGUCUGCAGGCUGCAGGGUCGCUGUUGAUCAUGACCCAAAGCGAGGCUGUGCUCACCACACUCGCUGAAUUGUCCGUAACCGCCCCAAGGAACUACAAGUCAGGCUGCUGGAAACGUGCCCCAAAGAGGACGGGUGUCGUGGAUGCUGGCGGUUUUGAACUUGGUGCCAGGGUUAAGAUUUAUAUUUUUUGAAUCAUCAAGUGUCUAGAUUUAUCAGCUCUAUUUUCAUUUCACUUUUCUCUGGAUGCUCAUCUGGGAAUCAUUUUACAGGUUAACGCACCGUUGCAGUUUGCACGGCGAUGGUGUCAUCGUGAUUCCAGAAAAGUGUUCUUCUAAAUUGCCUGCACGUCAGUGGGUCUGCUUUACUUCUGAUAACGGCAGCUGAGCUUCCUAAGAGCGUCAUAAAGUAUGCUUUUAAAAAAUGUAGUUAAGGGCUUCCCUGGUGGCGCAGUGGUUGAGAGUCCGCCUGCCGAUGCAGGGGAUGCGGGUUCGUGCCCCAGUCCGGGAAGAUCCCACGUGCCGCGGAGCGGCUGGGCCCAUGAGCCGUGGCCGCUGAGCCUGCGCGUCCAGAGCCUG
RNA transcript from Orcinus orca (killer whale), 5081 nucleotides. It is a transcript of the gene named defective in cullin neddylation 1 domain containing 2, with no coding region annotated. Lineage: Eukaryota; Metazoa; Chordata; Mammalia; Artiodactyla; Delphinidae. The transcript is spliced from 6 exons. The record is from RefSeq and is a predicted model, not a curated record.